CCUACGGGUGGCAGCAGUGGGGAAUAUUGCACAAUGGGGGAAACCCUGAUGCAGCGACGCCGCGUGAGCGAUGAAGUAUUUCGGUAUGUAAAGCUCUAUCAGCAGGGAAGAAAAUGACGGUACCUGACUAAGAAGCCCCGGCUAACUACGUGCCAGCAGCCGCGGUAAUACGUCGGGGGCAAGCGUUAUCCGGAUUUACUGGGUGUAAAGGGAGCGUAGACGGCGGUGCAAGCCAGAUGUGAAAGCCGGGGGCUCAACCCCGGGACUGCAUUUGGAACUGUGCUGCUAGAGUGUCGGAGGGGCAGGCGGAAUUCCUAGUGUAGCGGUGAAAUGCGUAGAUAUUAGGAGGAACACCAGUGGCGAAGGCGUUCUGCUGGACGAUGACUGACGUUGAGGCUCGAAAGCGUGGGGAGCAAACAGGAUUAGAUACCCGUGUAGUC
Molecule: ribosomal RNA, 440 nt
Filed under: uncultured bacterium
Lineage: Bacteria
Description: partial 16S ribosomal RNA
Rfam family: Bacterial small subunit ribosomal RNA
Source: RNAcentral